AACCCAUGGUUGGGACAUUUCCUCAGAAACACCUAGAAACAUUCCCAUGCCUCAUAAAAAGCUUACUCUGCACCUUGUUUGAAUGUUGAAAUUUCAAACUUCGCAU
This 106-nucleotide small nucleolar RNA is filed under the name Lupinus angustifolius (narrow-leaved blue lupine). Its description in RNAcentral is "Plant small nucleolar RNA R71". It matches the Rfam family "Plant small nucleolar RNA R71". From Rfam's summary of the family: R71 is a member of the C/D box family of snoRNAs containing the C (UGAUGA) and D (CUGA) box motifs. The record is from Rfam by way of RNAcentral. Lineage: Eukaryota; Viridiplantae; Streptophyta; Magnoliopsida; Fabales; Fabaceae.